UCCCCGUUAUCCUGGGCAGUCUCUCCAGAGUGCUCGGCAUUACCCGAUGCAACGCGAAGAACCUUACCUGGGUUUGACAUACACCAGAAGCCUGCAGAGAUGUGGGUCUCUUUGGACACUGGUGUACAGGUGGUGCAUGGCUGUCGUCAGCUCGUGUCGUGAGAUGUUGGGUUAAGUCCCGCAACGAGCGCAACCCUCGUUCUAUGUUGCCAGCACGCCCUUUGGGGUGGUGGGGACUCAUAGGAGACUGCCGGGGUCAACUCGGAGGAAGGUGGGGAUGACGUUGUCUACGC
RNAcentral lists this unclassified non-coding RNA (293 nucleotides) under uncultured Nocardioidaceae bacterium. RNAcentral's name for it is "contains 16S-23S intergenic spacer region". It matches the Rfam family "Bacterial small subunit ribosomal RNA", at positions 935 to 1196 of the family's 1533-position model. The record is from RNAcentral. Lineage: Bacteria; Bacillati; Actinomycetota; Actinomycetes; Propionibacteriales; Nocardioidaceae.